Unclassified non-coding RNA from Pongo abelii (Sumatran orangutan), 117 nucleotides. It matches the Rfam family "Metazoan signal recognition particle RNA". Rfam says of the family: The signal recognition particle (SRP) is a universally conserved ribonucleoprotein. The record is from Ensembl. Lineage: Eukaryota; Metazoa; Chordata; Mammalia; Primates; Hominidae.
GCCGGGUGUGGUGGCUCACGCCUGUAAUCCCAGCACUUUGGGAGGCCGAGGUGGGUGGAUCACCUGUGGUUAGGAGUUUCAGACCAGCCUGACCAACAUGGAGAAACCCCAUCUCUA